Molecule: ribosomal RNA, 459 nt
Filed under: uncultured bacterium
Lineage: Bacteria
Description: partial 16S ribosomal RNA
Rfam family: Bacterial small subunit ribosomal RNA
Source: RNAcentral
CCUACGGGGGGCAGCAGUGAGGAAUAUUGGUCAAUGGACGAGAGUCUGAACCAGCCAAGUAGCGUGAAGGAUGACUGCCCUAUGGGUUGUAAACUUCUUUUAUAUGGGAAUAAAACGUUCCACGUGUGGGAUUUUGUAUGUACUAUAUGAAUAAGGAUCGGCUAACUCCGUGCCAGCAGCCGCGGUAAUACGGAGGAUCCGAGCGUUAUCCGGCUUUAUUGGUUUUAAAGGGUGCGUAGGGGGUUGUUAAAGUAGUUGGUAAAGUUUGUGGGCUAAACGGAAAAGUGCAGUUGAAAAUGGCAGUCUUGAGUACAGGAGAGGUGGGCGGAAUGCGUGGUGUAGCGGUGAAAUGCUUAGAUAUCGCGAAGAACUCCGAUUGCGAAGGCAGUUCACUGGACUGCAACUGACACUGAGGCUCGAAAGUGUGGGUAUCAAACAGGAUUAGAUACCCGAGUAGUC